CCUACGGGUGGCAGCAGUGAGGAAUAUUGGUCAAUGGGCGCGAGCCUGAACCAGCCAAGUAGCGUGAAGGAUGACUGCCCUACGGGUUGUAAACUUCUUUUAUAAAGGAAUAAAGUGCGGCAAGUAUGACUUUUUGUAUGUACUUUAUGAAUAAGGAUCGGCUAACUCCGUGCCAGCAGCCGCGGUAAUACGGAGGAUCCGAGCGUUAUCCGGAUUUAUUGGGGUUAAAGGGAGCGUAGAUGGGUUGUUAAGUCAGUUGUGAAAGUUUGCGGCUCAACCGUAAAAUUGCAAUUGAUACUGGCAGCCUUGAGUACAGUAGAGGUAGGCGGAAUUCGUGGUGUAGCGGUGAAAUGCUUAGAGAUCACGAAGAACUCCGAUUGCGAAGGCAGCUUACUAAACUGCCACUGACAUUGAUGCUCGAAAGUGUGGGUAUCAAACAGGAUUAGAUACCCGUGUAGUC
Molecule: ribosomal RNA, 460 nt
Filed under: uncultured bacterium
Lineage: Bacteria
Description: partial 16S ribosomal RNA
Rfam family: Bacterial small subunit ribosomal RNA
Source: RNAcentral